AUUGAACGCUGGCGGCAGGCCUAACACAUGCAAGUCGAGCGGAGGAAGUGAGCUUGCUCCUGGAUUCAGCGGCGGACGGGUGAGUAAUGCCUAGGAAUCUGCCUGGUAGUGGGGGAUAACGUCCGGAAACGGGCGCUAAUACCGCAUACGGCCUGAGGGAGAAAGUGGGGGAUCUUCGGACCUCACGCUAUCAGAUGAGCCUAGGUCGGAUUAGCUAGUUGGUGGGGUAAAGGCCUACCAAGGCGACGAUCCGUAACUGGUCUGAGAGGAUGAUCAGUCACACUGGAACUGAGACACGGUCCAGACUCCUACGGGAGGCAGCAGUGGGGAAUAUUGGACAAUGGGCGAAAGCCUGAUCCAGCCAUGCCGCGUGUGUGAAGAAGGUCUUCGGAUUGUAAAGCACUUUAAGUUGGGAGGAAGGGCAGUAAGUUAAUACCUUGCUGUUUUGACGUUACCAACAGAAUAAGCACCGGCUAACUUCGUG
Molecule: ribosomal RNA, 484 nt
Filed under: uncultured bacterium
Lineage: Bacteria
Description: partial 16S ribosomal RNA
Rfam family: Bacterial small subunit ribosomal RNA
Source: RNAcentral